This 551-nucleotide ribosomal RNA is filed under the name uncultured bacterium. RNAcentral's name for it is "bacterial SSU rRNA". It matches the Rfam family "Bacterial small subunit ribosomal RNA", at positions 355 to 896 of the family's 1533-position model. The record is from RNAcentral.
UAGGGAAUCUUCGGCAAUGGGGGCAACCCCUGACCGAGCAACGCCGCGUGAGUGAAGAAGGUUUUCGGAUCGUAAAGCUCUGUUGUAAGUCAAGAACGAGUGUGAGAGUGGAAAGUUCACACUGUGACGGUAGCUUACCAGAAAGGGACGGCUAACUACGUGCCAGCAGCCGCGGUAAUACGUAGGUCCCGAGCGUUGUCCGGAUUUAUUGGGCGUAAAGCGAGCGCAGGCGGUUUGAUAAGUCUGAAGUUAAAGGCUGUGGCUCAACCAUAGUUCGCUUUGGAAACUGUCAAACUUGAGUGCAGAAGGGGAGAGUGGAAUUCCAUGUGUAGCGGUGAAAUGCGUAGAUAUAUGGAGGAACACCGGUGGCGAAAGCGGCUCUCUGGUCUGUAACUGACGCUGAGGCUCGAAAGCGUGGGGAGCGAACAGGAUUAGAUACCCUGGUAGUCCACGCCGUAAACGAUGAGUGCUAGGUGUUAGACCCUUUCCGGGGUUUAGUGCCGCAGCUAACGCAUUAAGCACUCCGCCUGGGGAGUACGACCGUAAGGUUG